UUCUCUACUUUCUUCCUCCGUUGGUAUCGCCAUUGUUGGAUUAUAGACUCAAGAAUGAGAAGAAAGAAAGAUCUUCUCUUUCUAUAUAGUUGGUUUGGCUCUUUUAGUUAAUGGUGUUGGCUCAGGGCAUUACACAGAAGAAGAUAAGGUAGAGACUCAUCUUACUAUCUCCGUCUAUCACCACUCUAUGGAGGCGUGCAGGGAUUAGCUUGUAGCAAGGAGCUAGCUACAAAAGAGAGGCUAGAGAGAGAGAGAGAGAGAGGGAAGAAAAGCUGGGGAAGUGGGAAGGAGAGUGAAAAGGAGAUUGAUUUAUGAAGAGAAGGGCGAGUUGGUUUUCACGUUUGUCUUUUUUCACUCGCGCAAUCUUUUAUUUUCUGAGAGUAUUAAAUGUGUCGUUUCUUUUUUCUUUUUUCAUAUUUUAUGAAUAUUUUCUUUUUCUGUGUUUUCCACUUUACCUACUUUUACUCAGUGGAGUAGAGAUCGAGAAACCAAAGUGCAGUAAAAUCUGUCGGCAACUUAACUAAAUCCUACAACCUUUUUUGCCGAUUGUCAACAACUUAUAAGGAUAGACAUUGACCAAAUAAAUUAAACUGUAGUGCGAUGAUUAGCUGCUGUGAACAAAAGCCAACUCCAGCUUCUUUGACUGAAGAUGAAAGAGGGAGUUUAAGGUAGCGAGAUAAUUAGCAAGCUGGCUUAACUUUUUUUCCAUAUAAAAAACAUCCAAAAUUCUCAAUGAGUUUCAGUGACCAUAGCAACCAUUAUGCUACAAUUUGCAAAGGCCGGGAACAGCAAAGAGGAGAUAGAAAAAAAUAAAAAUAAAAUGAGACAAAAAUUCGUCAACAAAUUAUAGAAAUAGCAUUAUACAUAAUGACCACUUUUCAUCAAUUCUCAACGCCAGAGUUUUAGUAUGGAGGCGGCGGGUAUUGUCCUUGAUAGGGACCUGGAUAACGAGAAUAAUAUUAGAGGUCUUAGUAUUAACAAGUAUAUUACUAUAUCCUAUCACAGCAUUUAAACACAAAAGGAAGAACAGUUAUGUACCUUGUGGGUAAUAUGGUGAUGGUUGAGGAGGGUACGGAGGAGGAGGGUAAGUUGAGGAUGGCGGAGGAGGAGGGUAAGCUGAAGGACCAAAUCCAACCCACGGCUUCUUUUCGAUCCGUGGCGAGAUAAACAUCAUCGACACAGCUGAGUCCUUGCUCUUCUUCUUUGGAGAAGAGAGUGACCAGAUCUUGGUCUUCCCAGAACAAAUCUUGCUGCAGAAUAGCCAAUGGAGAAGAAGUAGAAGCAGAAGAAAAGGAAGAGUUCUCUUCAACUGCUUCUACUUCUUCUUCGUCGUCGUCUUCCCAUUUCUCUUCUUCGCAGUAGAGAGCAUCAAGAAGAAACGAAGUGUUAUGUUCUUCUCUACUUUCUUCCUCCGUUGGUAUCGCCAUUGUUGGAUUAUAGACUCAAGAAUGAGAAGAAAGAAAGAUCUUCUCUUUCUAUAUAGUUGGUUUGGCUCUUUUAGUUAAUGGUGUUGGCUCAGGGCAUUACACAGAAGAAGAUAAGGUAGAGACUCAUCUUACUAUCUCCGUCUAUCACCACUCUAUGGAGGCGUGCAGGGAUUAGCUUGUAGCAAGGAGCUAGCUACAAAAGAGAGGCUAGAGAGAGAGAGAGAGAGAGGGAAGAAAAGCUGGGGAAGUGGGAAGGAGAGUGAAAAGGAGAUUGAUUUAUGAAGAGAAGGGCGAGUUGGUUUUCACGUUUGUCUUUUUUCACUCGCGCAAUCUUUUAUUUUCUGAGAGUAUUAAAUGUGUCGUUUCUUUUUUCUUUUUUCAUAUUUUAUGAAUAUUUUCU
RNAcentral lists this long non-coding RNA (1827 nucleotides) under Brassica napus (rape). Its description in RNAcentral is "long non-coding RNA (BNAP_LNC009162)". Lineage: Eukaryota; Viridiplantae; Streptophyta; Magnoliopsida; Brassicales; Brassicaceae. The record is from RNAcentral.